This is a non-coding RNA of Pelobates cultripes (western spadefoot toad), 508 nucleotides long. NCBI's taxonomy places the organism in Eukaryota, Metazoa, Chordata, Amphibia, Anura, Pelobatidae. The record is from the annotation of a GenBank genome assembly.
CUUUAUUUAAGUUUUCUUCUCCCUAUGGGGUUUUAUGUAAGAGAGGUAUAAUGCAUAAGAAAACAAUGUCAUGUAAAAUACUCUUUAUCCUAUACACAUUUCAUUGCAAACAAGCUUUCUCCCUAGGCAGUGUAAUAUCUGAGAUCUAAAGACACCAAUUAGGUAAUUCACUAAUUGACACAAGGUCCCAUAAGGUUAAGGUCGGUGUUAUUAUGUAUAGUGUGAUGGAUCACUAUAACCAUCCCCUUUGGUUAUGCAUUCAACUAUGUGUUCAGGACAUUGCAUUCCCUUUUAUUAUAUUUCUCCCUGUCAUUCCCUUACCGAACAAGAAGUGUGAAACCUAUUAACAUUAUGUACUCAAUACACACGAACUCCCGAAGCCAUUCAAAGUGCCCUUCGACCACGUGGCGUCGGCCAUCUUAAGCUGCGAGUACUAUGAGCGGUGUUUGGUCGUCGUUAUGACAUUAUCCACGAACGGCUAUGUUCGGUAUUUCGAACGGUAUUUCAA